RNAcentral lists this ribosomal RNA (254 nucleotides) under uncultured bacterium. RNAcentral's name for it is "partial 16S ribosomal RNA". It matches the Rfam family "Bacterial small subunit ribosomal RNA", at positions 524 to 776 of the family's 1533-position model. The record is from RNAcentral.
CACGUAGGGACCAAGCGUUGUCCGGAUUCAUUGGGCGUAAAGAGCUCGUAGGCGGUUCGAUAGGUCGGGUGUGAAACCUCCAGGCUCAACCUGGAGACGCCACCCGAUACUGUCGUGACUAGAGUCCAGUAGGGGAGCGUGGAAUUCCUGGUGUAGCGGUGAAAUGCGCAGAUAUCAGGAGGAACACCAGCGGCGAAGGCGGCGCUCUGGGCUGGAACUGACGCUGAGGAGCGAAAGCGUGGGGAGCGAACAGG